Molecule: ribosomal RNA, 446 nt
Filed under: uncultured bacterium
Lineage: Bacteria
Description: partial 16S ribosomal RNA
Rfam family: Bacterial small subunit ribosomal RNA
Source: RNAcentral
CCUACGGGUGGCAGCAGUCGAGAAUCAUUCACAAUGGGGGAAACCCUGAUGGUGCGACGCCGCGUGGGGGAAUGAAGGUCUUCGGAUUGUAAACCCCUGUCAUGUGGGAGCAAAUUAAAAAGAUAGUACCACAAGAGGAAGAGACGGCUAACUCUGUGCCAGCAGCCGCGGUAAUACAGAGGUCUCAAGCGUUGUUCGGAAUCACUGGGCGUAAAGCGUGCGUAGGCUGUUUCGUAAGUCGUGUGUGAAAGGCGCGGGCUCAACCCGCGGACGGCACAUGAUACUGCGAGACUAGAGUACUGGAGAGGCAGAUGGAAUUCCUAGUGUAGCGGUGAAAUGCGUAGAUAUUAGGAGGAACACUCGUGGCGAAGGCGGGUUCCUGGACAUUAACUGACGCUGAGGCACGAAGGCCAGGGGAGCGAAAGGGAUUAGAUACCCCGGUAGUC